This is a non-coding RNA of Sus scrofa (pig), 2367 nucleotides long. The record is from RefSeq and is a predicted model, not a curated record. NCBI's taxonomy places the organism in Eukaryota, Metazoa, Chordata, Mammalia, Artiodactyla, Suidae.
CACAAUCGCGCGACCCGGGUGGGGCGGCGGCCACCGGGUUAGGUAGCCGGGCGCCGGGGGCGUGGAGGGCUGCAGAGUGGAGCCCAGGACAGCUGCGAUCCUGCUCGGGUUGCUUUCCUUCCUCCGUCGCCUUCUCCCUUUGCUCUGCGCUGGCCACACGGUGGGACGCCCGCGGCGACAGAAGUCUGGGCGCCCUUGUCUGAAACCUCCUGGCGAGCCUGACAAGCAGCCGCGGAGAGCAAGAUCCAUGUUCACUUAUUCCCUGGUCUAGGAGUGGAAUUUCUGGGACAUACGAUCCUUAUCCCUUAUGUUAUUACAAAUUGAAUAUAUUGAAUAUAGUUCACUGUGCUAUACAGCUCAGCUCAAGAGCCACCCCCUCCGAGUUGCCUUCUGGGAUUUAUUCAAACCAAAGUAGUCCUUCUCUUUCCUGGGGCUCAGCAGCCUGGACGCAGACGCAGCAGUGUGGAUGAUUGCAUUGAUCCAGACUUGGAAGUUGUGCGGCAGUGACCUAGGACCACAAUAAGGAAAUCUCUUGAAAGAAUAUCCCUGCAUUCUUUGUAAAAUCUACAGGUGUGGUAUCCUCUUGUGAUAUCAAGAUUUGGGGAAAUGUUCUUCAAAUGUCCCCUCGUCCUUGCAUUGACUCUGAUUCUGCAGACUCUUAGAAGAAGUAGAGUUAUCAGCCUGCAAGAGAACGUUCCAGAGAGGAUUGAGCUCACCUUCUGGAGAAUCUAGAGAAGGAUGUUUUACCAUUUCCCUCGCUGUUCUAAAUUUUAGCAGCAACACAUAAGUUCUGCACAGUCUCGGAGUCCCUUGGGAUUACGGACUGCUGGAGGGCAGGAACUAUAUGACUUUCUUUUCUCCUUCAGCUCGCUCUCACAGACCUUUAAAAUCUCAUGUGCUAAAUGACUAAACAAGUGCCCAGACUGCUCUGUGCCAGGAUUCCUGGCGCCUCCAUGCUGGUCAGUGAGCCUGAAGAGGGCAGGGUCCAGCCUCAGGCCUCCAGCUCACUCUCCUCCCGGGAAGAAGACGCCUCUACUCCGAAGGCAGCCAGCACGUAUCUCACUCGCAACAGUCGGCAGAUGGCCUCGGAUCCCUUCUGUUCUCAGGAAUCACAUUGGGACUAACCGCGCUGUGCAUUUUCCAUCGCUGGCAGCCAUCUCAACAGUGACGUCGGGCCUCGUUAUUAAUAGGGGAGGGACAGACCCAGAGAGAGGGGAAGUGGCUUGGGCUGAGUCACACAGCAAAGUUAGAACUGCCAGCUCCCAGCGACUAACCUCGCCCUGGGCUCUAGCCCACACACCUGGCGGCUCCGGAGACUUGCUCCUUUUUGGACUCUGGGCAACAAACUCCCUGGCUAACCAAGCGGGUCUGACUUGUCCUACAGAGCCAAUGAGGCAAAAGCUUCCUGAGAAUGUUAUAUUGUGAUCUUGCUGUUUCUACUGGUUGGCAAGAAACCGACUCCCCAUUCCUUUUCGAAUGACCUUGGACACAUCAUGGAAAGUCUCUGAACCCUCAGUUUUCCCUUCAGGAAAAUGCAGACAAGAAUUCUGGGUGCCUACCCCGCCCCCACCCCAACAGACUGUGGACGAGCUAUAGGGUGAAGAUCGGGGUGCCCUUCUCCGAUCGGGUCUGCAUUUACAUGGGUGAACUUCAAACCUGGCUAAGCAUGGUAAUCACGUGAGUGGCCUUUAAAAAUACAAAUUCCUUAGCACUGAGAACCACAUCUAGUCGCUUAUGAUGGAGAACAAUGGACGAUAAGGUGAGAAAAAGAAUGUACAUAUGUAUGUGUGACUGGGUCACCUUGCUGUGCAGGAGAAGAUUGACAGAACACUGUAAACCAGCUAUAACGGAAAAAAAUCAUUAAAAAGACACUGACUUAAGAAGAUGUAGAUAAUGUGAAUUUUUAUCAAAUAAAGAAAUGGUAUGAAAAUUUUUUUCAAACAAACAAACAAAAAUAUAUAUAUAUAUACACAAGUUCCUUGGCCUUGACCAGCCUGGCUCACUUGGAUUUCUCCUCCUUUCUCCUGGCCACGUGGCCUCCAGCAUGAAGGGAACCCCCUUGGGGUGGUCUUUAACUUUUCCAUUUAAAUCCCCACCGACUCAGCUUAAAGAAACCUUCGCUAGGAGAUGGUGAGCGCGGCACUCUCUGUCUCUCUCUCUUGGACUCACUGUUCCCCCAAUGUUGGCACUUCUCACAUGCUGCUUGUUAUUUUUACUUCACUGUUUCAAAUCUUUGCCUCUUGUUUCCCCCAAUGAGCUCCUGGAGGGUAAAAAACUGUGCCAUACCCUUCUCUUGCCGCACAAGCGCUGGCACUAUCAGGACCUAGUAUCUGUUCAAUAAAUAGUUAUUGAAUGGCAAAUCUGAAA